Molecule: unclassified non-coding RNA, 229 nt
Filed under: Glomeraceae sp.
Lineage: Eukaryota; Fungi; Glomeromycota; Glomeromycetes; Glomerales; Glomeraceae
Description: partial contains 5.8S ribosomal RNA and internal transcribed spacer 2
Rfam family: 5.8S ribosomal RNA (bases 1-71)
Source: RNAcentral
GUGAAUCAUCGAAUCUUUGAACGCAAAUUGCACUCCCUGGUAUUCCGGGGAGUAUGCCUGUUUGAGGGUCGUUAGAACAAAAAUCGAAGCGUCGCUCUUUGUUUUUAAGGGUUGUCUCGUCUGAAUUCAGCCGUCUUUCAAUUGCUAAUUCAUGUCAAAGUUGCUUGAAAUUCAUCCAGCCGGUCCGAUUAAAUCGUAUUGAAGAUCAACUUUAAUUAAGAACGCGCGA